ACCAGGAAUUCCAACCAAGAAUUCCAGCCAGGAGUUCCAUCAGGAAUUCCAACCAGAAAUUCCAACAGGAAUUCCAACCAAGAAUUCCAGCCAGGAGUUCCAUCAGGAAUUCCAACCAGAAAUUCCAACAGGAAUUCCAACCAGGGAUUCCAGCCAGGAAUUCCAACCAGGAAUUCCAACCAGGAGUUCCAACCAGGAAUUCCAGACAUGAAUUCCAACCAGGAAUUCCAAGCAGGAAUUUCAGCAGGAAUUCCAACCAAGAAUUCCAGCCAGGAGUUCCAUCAGGAAUUCCAACCAGGGAUUCCAGCAGGAAUUUCAGCCAGGAAUUCCAGCCAGGGAUUCCAACCAGGGAUUCCAGCCAGCAAUUCCAUCAGGAAUUCCAUCAGGAAUUCCAGCCAGGGAUUCCAGCAGGAAUUCCAGCCAGGGAUUCCAACCAGGGAUUCCAGCCAGGAAUUUCAGCCAGGAAUUCCAACCAGGGAUUCCAUCAAGAAUUUCAGCCAGGAGUUCCAACCAGGGAUUCCAGCCAGGAAUUCCAACCAGGGAUUCCAACCAGGGAUUCCAGAAGGAAUUCCAGCCAGGGAUUCCAUCAAGAAUUCCAGCCAGGGAUUCCAUCAGGAAUUUCAGCCAGGAGUUCCAACCAGGGAUUCCAGCAGGAAUUCCAGCCAGGAAUUCCAACCAGGGAUUCCAUCAGGAAUUCCAUCAGGAAUUCCAGCCAGGAGCGCUCCUGGUGGCUCCAGCACCAAUCCCAACUCUCCGCCAGCCCCGGAUCCUCCCCCGGGGCUCCCCAAAUCCCACCCAAACCGCCCCAAAUUCUCGCUGCAGAAAUGGAGAGCGACCCCCCCAGCCCCGCUGCCCCAGCUUGGGAAAAGGAAAGGGGAAAAAAUGGGGGAAAAAAAGCAGCUUUUGGUUGAAGAAGGCGCGAGGUGAGGGUGGAGCUGGUGGCCCCGGCUGCUGGGCUGGGCUGGAGGGCUCGGCCGGAGGAGGAGACACCACCAGAGCCCAAAAUGAGAAAAUUCCC
This 1018-nucleotide long non-coding RNA is filed under the name Cyanistes caeruleus (blue tit). RNAcentral describes it as "lncRNA (ENSCCEG00000002282.1)". Lineage: Eukaryota; Metazoa; Chordata; Aves; Passeriformes; Paridae. The record is from RNAcentral.